AUCCAGCUGACGAGUGCAUAAUAGGACGAAACACGCGUCCUGGAU
Non-coding RNA from Schistosoma mansoni, 45 nucleotides. NCBI's taxonomy places the organism in Eukaryota, Metazoa, Platyhelminthes, Trematoda, Strigeidida, Schistosomatidae. The record is from Rfam.